CCUACGUGCCAGCAGCCGCGGUAAUACGUAGGUCCCCGAGCGUUAUCCGGAAUUUAUUGGGCGUAAAGGGCGCGCAGGUGGUUACUUAAGUCUGGUGUGAAAUUUUUAGGCUUAACCUAAAAAGGUCAUUGGAAACUGAGUAACUUGAGAGCAGGAGAGGUAAGUGGAAUUCCUAGUGUAGCGGUGAAAUGCGUAGAGAUUAGGAGGAACACCAGUGGCGAAGGCGGCUUACUGGACUGCAUCUGACACUGAGGCGCGAAAGCGUGGGUAGCAAACAGGAUUAGAUACCCUGGUAGUCCACGCCGUAAACGAUGAGUGCUAAGUGUUGCGAGUCAAAUCGCAGUGCUGAAGUUAACGCAAUAAGCGCUCCGCCUGGGGAGUACGACCGCAAGGUUGAAACUCAAACGAAUUGACGGGGACCCGCACAAGCGGUGGAGCAUGUGGUUUAAUUCGAAGCAACGCGAAGAACCUUACCAGGGUUUGACAUACCAAUGAUAUUUCUAGAGAUAGAGAGUUCCUUCGGGACAUUGGAUACAGGUGGUGCAUGGUUGUCGUCAGCUCGUGUCGUGAGAUGUUGGGUUAAGUCCCGCAACGAGCGCAACCCUUAUCGUUAGUUGCCAUCAUUAAGUUGGGUACUUUAACGAGACUGCCAGUGAUAAACUGGAGGAAGGCGGGGAUGAGGUCAAAUCAUCAUGCCCCUUAUACCCUGGGCUACACACGUGCUACAAUGGUCGGUACAAAGAGAAGCGAAGCUGUGAAGUGAAGCAAACCUCAUAAAGCCGAUUUCAGUUCGGAUUGUAGUCUGCAACUCGACUACAUGAAGAUGGAAUCGCUAGUAAUCGUGGAUCAGCAUGCCACGGUGAAUACGUUCCCGGGUCUUGUACACACCGCCCGUCACACCACGAGAGUUUAUAACACCCGAAGUCAGUGGGCUAACCUCGCAAGAGGGGGCAGCUGCCUAAGGUGGGAUAGAUGAUUGGGGUG
Molecule: ribosomal RNA, 984 nt
Filed under: uncultured bacterium
Lineage: Bacteria
Description: bacterial SSU rRNA
Rfam family: Bacterial small subunit ribosomal RNA
Source: RNAcentral